UUAUUGUUCUUGGGAACAAAAAUCAUAUUCCCAGAAUCCAGCCAAGCACGCGGCACACGCAUGUCAGCGCACACACACACACACACACCAAUACAAACAGUGACUUAGCGCUGAUAGUGACUUAAAAUAUCUGUUUCAGGAAGACAGCAAUGAAGAGCAGUUUGUUCAUGACCUUGGAAAAACCAAGAGAGCUGUUUUUACCGUCACCAGUGCCUUCCCGCGUGAGCGUCCUUGGCAUACAGUCCCCUCACCUGGUGCAACCUUUCUGGUCACUGUCUUACUCUCAGAUGACUGCAUCUAAUCAAGGAUGAGCUGAAUUUGGCUUGGGAAGUAUUUGUUUGUAAAUGAGAGAUUCCUCAUAAAGUAAAUGCUUUCAGGAUCCAGGGAGUAAUUUAAUAGUGGUGUGUUUUGGCCACCUUGGCAUGAAGUGGGAGAAAUAUUUGGGAAAGAGAGGGGAGAGAGAGAGGUGGACUUACUUAAACUCAGUUAUGCUAUACUUAUAGGAGAUAAAAAUACACGAAAAAUCAUAAGCGCAUGGUCUGUUUUGCUUUUGAACAGUGCAAAUACAUUUCCUCUCCCACCAAUCACACUUCUCUUAGCAGACAGCACUUGAGUGCCCUCAGAGGCACCCAAACAUGUCCAUGAAAGCACCACGAAGAGAGGAAAACCAAGUCAUUUUGGGGUUGUCAUUCCUAAAUCAAAACUGUUAUUGAAAAAUUUCCUUCUAGUGAGAGUCUAGGAGCAUUUCCCGCCUUGGUCGUGCCACAUGGCUUGCAGGGAUCUUAGUUCCCUGACCAGGGAUUGAACCCUUGCUUCCUGCAGUGGAAGCCCAGAGUCCUAACCGCUGGACCGCCGGAGAAGUCGCAAGAGCCUAGACAUUUUAAACAGGAAUCUCUUGGAUUAUUUAAUGAGAUGAUCUUGUUUUGGUUUUGUGUUUUAGGCUUUUUAUUGUAUGUUUUAUGAUGUUGUUAUUGUUUGUAUUAUUGCUUUGGAAAAUUCUGAAUAAUGGCUUGAUUAUUCUGGUAGGAAAUCAUCAUCAAAAGCAGCUUACCCUUCUUAGAAAUGUAUGUUUGUGUUUUGCUUUGAGAAGGAAUAUUUAAACUUUCCACAAGUUUGUGGAGAAGACAGAGUUUACUUGCAGCCACCCAAGGCACAUUUCCACCUUUGUGACCGCCUCAGAGAGGAUUGAAAACUGUUUGAAUUCAUCUCUCAUGCAAACAAGAUGGGCAGAACUGGUGCCUCCCUCUUUGAAGAAUCUGCACUUUGAAAAAUGAUUGUUUUCUGACUAUAAAAAUAAUGCAGCUUAAUUUAUUAUGGAAACUGUGAAAAACAGAGAACAAUGUAUUAUACAAAGUAAAAAUCUCCUAUACCCCUACUACCUAGAAAGAGCCACUGUUAAUAUUUUGGUGUAUAUCUGAUGAGUAUUUUAAAAUUAUCUAAAUAUGUAUCUAUAAUUUAUAGAUAAUAAUAUGUGCUAUAGAUGUAAUUAUUAUAGAUAAUAUGUAUUAUAAUGUUCUCUAUCUAAAAUUGUAUAGAUAAGCAUAGACAAUCUCAUUAUUUGCUCUUUUCACUUGAUUAUUCAGAACACUACUAUUCUGUUCUAGCAUACUUCCUGUGGUUGCAGAGAAUGUUAACCUGUGGAUGGAUAAACUUUGUUUAAGCAGUUGCUAUCAUUGUACAUUUGGUUGUUCUUAGUUUUUAUAAAUACUUUUGUAUGAACACAUUGCUGUUUAAUCUUUGAGAUGUCUUAGAAUGCAUUCCUAGAAGUGCAAGUGUUGCAUCAAAGGUAGUCAGGUGUUUGAAAAAAAUUUUUUACCAAAUUCCCCUGGGUUGGGAUACAGUUUUGAGGGCAUGAGCCUGCUGUGUCCCCUUUUGCCUGGCAAAGCAAUAAAGCUAUUCUUUUUGCUUCA
Bos indicus x Bos taurus (hybrid cattle) is the source of this 1910-nucleotide long non-coding RNA. NCBI's taxonomy places the organism in Eukaryota, Metazoa, Chordata, Mammalia, Artiodactyla, Bovidae. The record is from Ensembl.